Molecule: ribosomal RNA, 597 nt
Filed under: Triticum aestivum (bread wheat)
Lineage: Eukaryota; Viridiplantae; Streptophyta; Magnoliopsida; Poales; Poaceae
Description: partial small subunit ribosomal RNA
Source: RNAcentral
AUGAAUCUCGUAUGUUGGAACUGCCACGGCGCGGGCAAAGCCGCAAUAGUUCGAGAGCUUCGUGAUAUUGCGAGGUAAUUUGCCCCGGGUGUGCUCUGCAUUGUUGAGACACAAAUACCAAAAGCACGUGUCAAGAGUUUGGCUGAAAUAUUAGGAUUUGAUCAUUCUUAUGUUGUAAGUAGCUCAGGCCGCAGUGGUGGGCUAGGUUUAUUUUGGAACAACGGAAUAAAUAUUGAUGUGUUUGGUUAUUCGGAGUAUCAUAUUGAUGCCACCGUUACAUCUCUGGGAUAUGAUGAUUGGAGACUAACUUGCGUCUAUGGUGAAGCCCAAGUCAGUGAGCACUACCGAACUUGGUAUCUCCUAAAAUCCCCAGUGUCUGCUAGUACCCUACCUUGGCUGUGCAUAGGAGAUUACAAUGAAGUUCUUCAUCAACACGAGCACGUGGGAGCAGGCCAAAGAAGAUCACAGAUAGCAGGGUUCAGAGAUGCCAUCGACGUGUGCUCACUCGUGGACUUAGGGUACCAGAGCCGCCCAUGGACAUUCAAGAAGAAGACGGCGAGGGAGGUUACUACCGAGUCUGCCUUGACAGAGCAUUAG